Xenopus tropicalis (tropical clawed frog) is the source of this 2490-nucleotide long non-coding RNA. RefSeq lists it as uncharacterized. The record is from RefSeq and is a predicted model, not a curated record. NCBI's taxonomy places the organism in Eukaryota, Metazoa, Chordata, Amphibia, Anura, Pipidae. The transcript has 5 exons.
GCCGGUCACUAAGGUAUAGAUACGGGUUGUUGGGUUGUGUUGUGGGUCUAAUCUAUAUAUCUUAUAGAAAGACAUCAGUGUGUGUAGCGCAAGGUUGGUGUAGGACUUGCCAUGCUGAAUGCUGGUGGAGACAACACCGCAUUGGGCAUCUGGAGCAGAUGGUACAGGAAUUAUUGAUGAAUGAUAUGAGAUACAAGUUGACACUCUCCAUCCAUCAUCCCCUGGAACCAGUGCCAUAGGCCGGAAAUCCCCAACUACAGAAGAGCAAAGUAUAGUGAUUCCCAGGGACCAGAUGUCACACUGGAAAAGAAGACACCAAAGAGCAUUAGAAGGAGAGAGUUGGGUUAGCGGGUGAGUCAGUUACUUAUUACUGGGUGGGUUCUAUCGUCAGUGCUUGCAUACAAUGAAUGGAAAACACAGAACCAAUUAGAACUCGUACUAGUACUGAUAGAAGAAAUGGCCCCAUGUUUAACAAUCAUGUAACUGAAUUGGCCUUUACUGAAUAGAGCACCCAUUUGUGCAGACACAUAAAUGCCAUUGGGUCCUCCUACUGCUCCUACAACAUACUUUGGUGUCGAAUUCCGGUUCCCUGUCCCUCCUCCUAAAGGCCUCGGGCGCCAUCCAGUGCGCAGUCCCAUCAGCCUGGUUGCACUUCCCUGUCUGUGGGUCCAGGUCCCAGCAGAGUCCGAAAUCGACUGAAAUGACAGAUUAAACAUAUAAAUGGAAAAUUCACUUUUAAGGGUGAAAACCCUGUAUUAUGAUACCCUCUGUACUUUAUUUUUACAGCUUCCCCCCCUAUAAACUAUAAGUUUUACUCACUGAGUUUGAUGUUCCCCUUCUUGGUGAGCAUCACGUUGGGGCUCUUGAUGUCCCUGUGAACGGCCCGGUGGUGGUGAACGUGGUGGAGAGCCUGUGGAGAUUGAGAUACAUAGCCAAUCCAGGUCUCCUUCAGGGAUUGGCCUUCGGUGCUGUCGAUCAGGUCGUACAGGGAGCCGCCGCUGCAGUACUCAAGGACAAGCUGCAAUAGGAAGGAAUGAUUUCAGGCCGUAUACUCCGAUGACUCCUCGUUUGGAGCAGGGUGGUGAUAAGCUCCAUAGUAAGAGGCGAUGUUCCUGUGCCUGCUGAACUUCAGGAGAAAGUUUACCUCUCGGCAGACUGACUCCUCAUCCUGGAGAGGAAAAAUAGAAACCCUUUAGCUCACAUAGGCAGCCACACAAUAGGGAUGAUAUGGAGAAAGGAACUAUAAAGAAACCUUACCCGAGUGAUGUUGGCCAUCUUGACGGCUACCUUACCUCUGCGAUGGUGAUGGCCCUGUAACACACACAGAAAGGUGUAACUGACAUUCAGUAUUAGCUGGAAAUAUAAAGACUCAUAUAGGGAACAAAAUGACAGAAAUAUUGAGUUAUUAAGAAAUGGAAAAUGUGCAUAGCAGGGAUAGUGGUAGCACUUUCAACUUGCUUUCAGCUACCCCUGCUCUCUAGGAAUUUGGUUGGUCCCUUACCAUGAACACGGCUCCAGUGCCGCCCUCUCCGAUUUGCGUCUCCUUGGUCAGCCGACCAUCAGGAGGCUGGGAAAAAUAGAUAAAUAGAAUUAACAGGGGAUUUUAUUGAUAACAUAAUAUUCCACGAGGUAAAAAAUAUGUAUUAACUACAAUUUUGGGUAGACCGGAAGGAGACUUUUGGGAAGGAGGGGCAUGAGAAACACAUGAAAGACAGAGGCAAUUGGAAGGUGUGAGGUUCAUAAAACUGGGGGGGCAUCACCAAACCAACACCCAAAUUCUAUGCUCAAGUCUAGCAGCCCCUACAGGGGCUUUCUACUCACCUUAUACAUUUCGGAGAGGCAUCCGGAUUCAGCCGGCCGCUGAGGGAAAAGUAAAAGAUUCUGUUACUUUAAAGGGACAUUAUUAGGCCCAACACUUGCUGAGUAACAAAAUGGCAAAAUGGAGGAAGGAAUGAAGGAACUGUCUGAUAAAGUGUCUGAUUCUGGGAUAAAUUGGCCCCAUAUAGAACCAGAUAUUUAUUCAGGCUCAUUAAAGAGCCCCAUAUGGGCAGAACACUGCUCUGUGUGUCACUGAAUGGGUUAACAUUUUAUACUUUACACCAAAACCCUUGAGUCAAAUGAAAUCCAUAGCAGGAGCCUUACCUUCCUCCGGGGGGCGCAGAAUGGCAUUGCGCCCUAGUGGUUUUGCUCUUAAAAGAGCAGUUGGGUUUAGAAAAAAGAAAAAUAUCAGCUGAUGUCAAUGGAAGAUGGUUUUUCCAAAGAGAAGCUGAAAAAAUCACAAAGUCGCUGAUUAUCGCAAGAAAAUCGCCUUGAAGACGCCUGGAAAUCGCUUUCUCGCACAGAAUUUCACUUUAUGUGGAAACAGAAAUGAAGAAGAGAUUUUAAGUUCCAUGGUCCGGCCCUCUCUGCUAUACAGAUCAGGAUACACUGCAUUAUAUUCACAGUAUUCCCCCCUGACCAAUCCACCCUUUUAAUAAAAAAAAAAUCAAA